UGUUCCUUAGUAUAUGAUGUAUAAGAGUUUUUGGUACUCUAGGAGGCGGUUUGAUCCUGCCAGGUGCAA
This 69-nucleotide transfer RNA is filed under the name Toxeutes macleayi. Its description in RNAcentral is "tRNA-Gln". Lineage: Eukaryota; Metazoa; Arthropoda; Insecta; Coleoptera; Cerambycidae. The record is from RNAcentral.